AAAUUGAAGAGUUUGAUCAUGGCUCAGAUUGAACGCUGGCGGCAGGCCUAACACAUGCAAGUCGAACGGUAACAGGAAGCAGCUUGCUGCUUUGCUGACGAGUGGCGGACGGGUGAGUAAUGUCUGGGAAACUGCCUGAUGGAGGGGGAUAACUACUGGAAACGGUAGCUAAUACCGCAUAACGUCGCAAGACCAAAGAGGGGGACCUUCGGGCCUCUUGCCAUCGGAUGUGCCCAGAUGGGAUUAGCUAGUAGGUGGGGUAACGGCUCACCUAGGCGACGAUCCCUAGCUGGUCUGAGAGGAUGACCAGCCACACUGGAACUGAGACACGGUCCAGACUCCUACGGGAGGCAGCAGUGGGG
This 362-nucleotide ribosomal RNA is filed under the name Escherichia coli. Its description in RNAcentral is "bacterial SSU rRNA". It matches the Rfam family "Bacterial small subunit ribosomal RNA", at positions 1 to 359 of the family's 1533-position model. The record is from RNAcentral. Lineage: Bacteria; Pseudomonadati; Pseudomonadota; Gammaproteobacteria; Enterobacterales; Enterobacteriaceae.